RNAcentral lists this non-coding RNA (27 nucleotides) under Bombyx mori (domestic silkworm). Lineage: Eukaryota; Metazoa; Arthropoda; Insecta; Lepidoptera; Bombycidae. The record is from RNAcentral.
UAAUUCGAGGUGUAUCGCUUUAACGCU